This 670-nucleotide long non-coding RNA is filed under the name Microcebus murinus (gray mouse lemur). RNAcentral's name for it is "lncRNA (ENSMICG00000048723.1)". The record is from RNAcentral. Lineage: Eukaryota; Metazoa; Chordata; Mammalia; Primates; Cheirogaleidae.
AACACCGACUAUCACUUGGGAAGAGGAAUCCUCCAACCUCUGCUUCCACCCACCGUGAGUUCAACUAGAUAAGUAGAGAUAUGUUGCACAGCAAGGUGAAUUGACAGAAGUAGCAUCUCAGAUACCCCUCCAUGCAUGAAUGGACCCGGAGAAGACAAAAUCCUUUUUGGAGCAAGGAGAAUGUUGCAAUGGACUGGAAAGAGGGGAGCAGUCAGCAGAAAGAACAGAGCUAAUGGAACCUGAAUUGGUUUCUCACCCUCCAGAGCUCUGUCAGCUUGUGAGCCCAAGUCAAGAGGAAUUGACCAGAGGAAAUAGUCAUAGAGCCAGCAGAGAAAUCAAUGUGCCAAGUGACCAGAAAAGAGUAUCCUGGGGCGGCACCAAUAUCAUCAUAUCAGAACAACUCACCGGAGUUGAAAAUGGUCAAGGAGACAGCACUGAUUUGAACAACUCAGAUAGCAGGAAGAUUAAGACAAUUCUGCAUUCAAUUCUAUCAUCCUGUGUAUAUAGAACUUUUGGAGUCCUCCUGAUUAUCCUGGAUAUAAUACUUGUAUUUAAAGAACUAAUUUUCACUCGUGCAAUUUAUAUUCCUUUUGGAUAUCUAUUAGUUCUCCUAGCUAUUGCUUUAUUUUUUUUCCUCGAUCUUCUUGUUCGAGUAUAUUUAGAACAGUAA